Molecule: ribosomal RNA, 605 nt
Filed under: uncultured bacterium
Lineage: Bacteria
Description: partial 16S ribosomal RNA
Rfam family: Bacterial small subunit ribosomal RNA
Source: RNAcentral
CGGUUAAGCCGGCUUCGGCCGGGAAUACAGUGGCGAACGGGUGAGUAACACGUGACCAACCUGCCCCCCGCUCCGGGACAACCGCUGGAAACGGCGGCUAAUACCGGGUACUCCGCGGGCCCCGCAUGGGGCCGGCGGGAAAGCCCAGGCGGCGGGGGAUGGGGUCGCGGCCCAUUAGGUAGUAGGCGGGGUAGAGGCCCACCUAGCCGACGAUGGGUAGCCGGACUGAUAGGUCGACCGGCCACAUUGGGACUGAGAUACGGCCCAGACUCCUACGGGAGGCAGCAGUGGGGAAUUUUGCCCAAUGGGGGAAACCCUGACGCAGCAACGCCGCGUGCGGGACGAAGGCCCUCGGGCUGUAAACCGCUUUCAGCAGGGAAGACGUCGAAAAAACCUUUUUUUGAAGCUCCGGCGGGGAAAAAAAAGCAGCCGCGGUAAUACGUAGGGGGCGAGCGUUAUCCGGAUUCAUUGGGCGUAAAGCGCGCGUAGGCGGCCGCCUAAGCGGAACCUCUAACCCCGGGGCUCAACCUCGGGCCGGGUUCCGGACUGGGCGGCUCGAGUGCGGUAGAGGAGAGCGGAAUUCCCGGUGUAGCGGUGGAAUGCGC